CGAGCGGAUGAGGUAGCUUGCUACCUGAUUCAGCGGCGGACGGGUGAGUAAUGCCUAGGAAUCUGCCUGGUAGUGGGGGACAACGUUUCGAAAGGAACGCUAAUACCGCAUACGUCCUACGGGAGAAAGUGGGGGAUCUUCGGACCUCACGCUAUCAGAUGAGCCUAGGUCGGAUUAGCUAGUUGGUGAGGUAAUGGCUCACCAAGGCGACGAUCCGUAACUGGUCUGAGAGGAUGAUCAGUCACACUGGAACUGAGACACGGUCCAGACUCCUACGGGAGGCAGCAGUGGGGAAUAUUGGACAAUGGGCGAAAGCCUGAUCCAGCCAUGCCGCGUGUGUGAAGAAGGUCUUCGGAUUGUAAAGCACUUUAAGUUGGGAGGAAGGGUUGUAACCUAAUACGUUGCAAUUUUGACGUUACCGACAGAAUAAGCACCGGCUAACUCUGUGCCAGCAGCCGCGGUAAUACAGAGGGUGCAAGCGUUAAUCGGAAUUACUGGGCGUAAAGCGCGCGUA
This 514-nucleotide ribosomal RNA is filed under the name Pseudomonas benzenivorans. RNAcentral describes it as "bacterial SSU rRNA". It matches the Rfam family "Bacterial small subunit ribosomal RNA", at positions 63 to 573 of the family's 1533-position model. The record is from RNAcentral. Lineage: Bacteria; Pseudomonadati; Pseudomonadota; Gammaproteobacteria; Pseudomonadales; Pseudomonadaceae.